This 399-nucleotide unclassified non-coding RNA is filed under the name Galeana pratensis. Its description in RNAcentral is "partial contains external transcribed spacer and 18S ribosomal RNA". The record is from RNAcentral. Lineage: Eukaryota; Viridiplantae; Streptophyta; Magnoliopsida; Asterales; Asteraceae.
CUCUUUGGCUGCGCAACAACUUCCACCUGGCAUACCUCUUCAGUUAUCUGUUUAUGCUUGUAUUUAGUAAGCAGAAGCCGAUUGUGGGUUUCCUGUGUUGCCUACCUAAGUGAUGGUAUUCUUCUAGUUGCACAUGGUUUUUUUCGUCUUGUAUCAUACUCAUGAUACUAGAUGAACCUUGAAGCAGCCUCUCUGAUCCACUUUGUUGGUAUGUGUACUAAUGUUGUGGCCUAAUGAGUAUUGCUUGGACUCUUGGAUAUGGAACUUUAUGUGGGCAUGGGUCUCAUAAGAUUCUUGAUUCGCCCUCAUUUAGUGUUCUCGCUUUUCUUAAAGUGACUCCCCAACUCGCAUUGGCUCGUACCAGCGUGUUGGGUUAUGUCAGAAGGAAUGCUACCUGGU